GACGGAGGGGGCAAGCGUUGUUCGGAAUUAUUGGGCGUAAAGCGCGCGUAGGCGGUUACUUAAGUCGGAUGUGAAAGCCCUCGGCUUAACUGAGGAAGUGCACCCGAAACUGAGUAGCUAGAGUACGAAAGAGGGUCGCGGAAUUCCCGGUGUAGAGGUGAAAUUCGUAGAUAUCGGGAGGAACACCUGUGGCGAAAGCGGCUCACUGGACCAUAACUGACGCUGAGGCACGAAGGCCAGGGGAGCAAACGGG
This 253-nucleotide ribosomal RNA is filed under the name uncultured bacterium. RNAcentral describes it as "partial 16S ribosomal RNA". It matches the Rfam family "Bacterial small subunit ribosomal RNA", at positions 524 to 776 of the family's 1533-position model. The record is from RNAcentral.